GGUCAGUAGAUGAGACCUUAAACAGUCAAUUCGUGGUGGAUGGUUACACACCUUAAACAACCUA
Molecule: non-coding RNA, 64 nt
Submitted as: unclassified sequences
Source: Rfam